CCGCUUGAUGAAGAAGAAAUUGUCGCCAACAUUCUCAACGGAUUGGACUUUGAAUACAAUCCCGUGGUGUCUGCUCUAGUAACUAGAUUGGAGCCGAUCUCAGUAGCUGAAGCAUAUGCACAACUUCUCAGCUUUGAGA
Small nucleolar RNA from Panicum virgatum (switchgrass), 139 nucleotides. RefSeq annotates it as small nucleolar RNA Z247. The record is from RefSeq and is a predicted model, not a curated record. The transcript has a single exon. Lineage: Eukaryota; Viridiplantae; Streptophyta; Magnoliopsida; Poales; Poaceae.